RNAcentral lists this microRNA (21 nucleotides) under Homo sapiens (human). RNAcentral's name for it is "hsa-miR-3684". Lineage: Eukaryota; Metazoa; Chordata; Mammalia; Primates; Hominidae. The record is from miRBase by way of RNAcentral.
UUAGACCUAGUACACGUCCUU